UGGGGAAUUUUGGGCAAUGGGCGAAAGCCUGACCCAGCAACGCCGCGUGUGUGAAGAAGGUCUUCGGAUUGUAAAGUACUUUAAGUUGGGAGGAAGGGCAGUUACCUAAUACGUGAUUGUUUUGACGUUACCGACAGAAUAAGCACCGGCUAACUCUGUGCCAGCAGCCGCGGUAAUACAGAGGGUGCAAGCGUUAAUCGGAAUUACUGGGCGUAAAGCGCGCGUAGGUGGUUAGUUAAGUUGGAUGUGAAAUCCCCGGGCUCAACCUGGGAACUGCAUUCAAAACUGACUGACUAGAGUAUGGUAGAGGGUGGUGGAAUUUCCUGUGUAGCGGUGAAAUGCGUAGAUAUAGGAAGGAACACCAGUGGCGAAGGCGACCACCUGGACUGAUACUGACACUGAGGUGCGAAAGCGUGGGGAGCAAACAGGAUUAGAUACCCGAGUAGUCCCUGAGCGGGCUGGCAAGGCGCAU
Molecule: ribosomal RNA, 472 nt
Filed under: uncultured bacterium
Lineage: Bacteria
Description: bacterial SSU rRNA
Rfam family: Bacterial small subunit ribosomal RNA
Source: RNAcentral